This 332-nucleotide ribosomal RNA is filed under the name uncultured bacterium. Its description in RNAcentral is "bacterial SSU rRNA". It matches the Rfam family "Bacterial small subunit ribosomal RNA", at positions 568 to 898 of the family's 1533-position model. The record is from RNAcentral.
CGCGUAGGCGGGAUGGCAAGUCGGUCGUGAAAUCCCUGGGCUCAACUCAGGGGGGUCGGCCGAUACUGCCGUUCUUGAGGGAUGCAGAGGAGACUGGAAUUCCCGGUGUAGCGGUGAAAUGUGUAGAGAUCGGGAGGAACACCGGUGGCGAAGGCGGGUCUCUGGGCAUUCCCUGACGCUGAGGCGCGAAAGCGUGGGGAGCAAACGGGAUUAGAUACCCCGGUAGUCCACGCGGUAAACGAUGACGACUAGGUGUGGGGGGGUUAAGUCCCUUCCGUGCCGCAGCUAACGCAUUAAGUCGUCCGCCUGGGGAGUACGGCCGCAAGGUUGAA